RNA transcript from Cucumis sativus (cucumber), 973 nucleotides. RefSeq lists it as uncharacterized. The record is from RefSeq and is a predicted model, not a curated record. The transcript has 2 exons. Lineage: Eukaryota; Viridiplantae; Streptophyta; Magnoliopsida; Cucurbitales; Cucurbitaceae.
AAAAAAGACAAAAGAAUAACAAUUAUUUUGCUACUCAUCAUUAUAUCCACAUUAUUAUUAUUAUAUAUUUAUACACAUGCAUACAUAGAGAGAAACAUUCAACCUCGACCCGUGACUCUCAACAACACAGCUCUCACAAGAUUAUAUUUCUUCUUAAUUCACGUGAAACAUCUAAAUCUUCACAAAAACACAAAAAUCCAAGCUUUUCCCCUCUUAUAAAUCACCCCUUCACCCCUUUACCAUCUUCACACAACUUCUCAAACCAAAUUUACCUUCAAACAUUUAAUUUCCAAUUGCAUUCAAUGGCCCCCAGCAAGCUUCAUCUCCUCUUGCCCCUCCUUGUUCUUCUUCUACCUGCCGCUGUUACCGCUUAUCCACUCUGUAAGAUUGACACCUCUGAUCUCAAGCUUUGCCGCUCGGCUGUGACCCCACCGGACCAUGGCCAGCCUUUGCCACUCCCCACUGAAGACUGCUGUUCAGUGGUUCGUCAUGCUGACCUUAAGUGCCUUUGCAAUCUCAAGUCCGUCCUCCCCUCCAUGGGGAUUGACACUGCCAAUGCCUUGGCUUUGCCAUCCAAAUGUAACGUAGCAUCCCCACCCGAGUGCCAUUCCUAAACCUUGUUUGAUUUUAUGAAUGGGUAGGUCUUGUGUUGGAAAAAUCAAGUGCACGGAGUCGAUGUUUUGAUAUGGGCAUAUUGUGUGUAAUGUAUUGAUUUUAGGAAGUGUGUAGUAAGUUUUUAUUUCGAGUACUCUCUUUUAAUUUUUGUAAUGUAUUAUGCCCAUACAUUUGUUCUGAGAGUGAUAAUAUAUAUUUACUCUUUCCCCUUUGGUUGCUUGAACAUUAAAAGCCCAAAGUCUUUUAAAUGCGUUUAUGUUUAUGUGUAUGCUUUAAUUUUAGUCUCUUUGUGAAGAUUGAAGAAUCUUUUUGUACCUCUAAUAAUAUUCUAUAUCAGUUUUGCUUUUUACUUGUUAAA